This 1015-nucleotide long non-coding RNA is filed under the name Ananas comosus (pineapple). RNAcentral's name for it is "long non-coding RNA (ACOM_LNC031361)". The record is from RNAcentral. Lineage: Eukaryota; Viridiplantae; Streptophyta; Magnoliopsida; Poales; Bromeliaceae.
AAAUAAUGGCUUUUGGAUAAAAAGAUAUAAGAUAUACGUCUUCUUUUAAAGUGUACAAAUAGCAUUGCUCAUAAGAGAUACAAUAAAAACGGUCUAUAGCUACACUUUUAAAUAUCGGUACAGGUCAAAAAAAGUGUUACUAGCUAAAUUACCGACACUUUUAAAAAGUGUUGCUAUAUGUGGGGUCGCUAGGUAUAUAGUGACAGUUAAAGGGUGUCGCUAUAACCUAAGAGUACUGCUACUUUACCAACACUUAUUUAAGCAUUUAGCAACCGCCGAAACUUUACCUCGUUGGCUGCGGUGGCGGAGGAGGACGAGAGUAAGGAAUCUUCGUCUAGAAUUUCAGUGGAUUGAGUGAGGAGAGAAGAGAAGAUGGUAAUCAAAUUUUCUUUUCUUUUUUUUUCUUUUCUGUUUGUAAUCGGAGCGAAUGAGCUGGGUGGGAUGGGUUGAGUAAAGUAACCUUUUAUUUUUUGUUGAAUUGGACUUUAUAUUUAGGCAUUAGUAGAUUUAUUUUUAAGUUUUGGCAUAAAUGGGACAAUUACAUAAAAAUGUCCCAAACAUGUGUCCUUAUAACCUAAUUCUAUUGCAGUGGCAAUACAGUCAAUAUAAUAUAUACACGUAUAAAUAGGUGUAAAUCUUACACCUUAGUUUUUCUAUGGGUAAAAUUUAGGGAAAACUUCAAAAAUUCUCCCUGUGGUUUCGUAGUUUCUCAGUUUGCCCCCCUAUGGUUUAAAAUAUAUCAAUUUGCCCCCCUAUGGUUUCUUUUUUCUCUUUUUCUUAUCAAUUUCAUUAUUUUUUUUUCCUUAAAUCAGUGAUAAAGUUAAAAUUAAAGGGUACUAAAGUGAAUAUUUGAUAAAUCUAGAUGGGUAUCUGAAGAUUUUUGUAUAUAAUUUAAUGAAAUAUUAACGAAAAAAUUACCGAAAAGAUAAAAACGAAACUACAGGGGGGCAAAUUGAUACACUUUAAACCACAUGGGGGCAAAGUAAGAAACUACAAAACCACGGGGGGGUUUUUG